GGAUGUAAAUCCUACCUGGGUAUGACAUAAGUCAUUCCACUGAUCACCAGGGUUGAUUUGGUUGAUAUGUCUGCCUAGGUAGGUGCCUCUUUUCUCCUUCACCACUCCACAUACAUCCCUCCUCAAGCUUGCACUCCAUUGAAAUGAAUAAGCUUCCCCCAGUAGAGAUGGACAAUUCUUUGAUUAAGAAUAUAGGAGCAGCUGUGCUCUCCUACUAGGACAUUCAAAUAACCUCUGCAGGAAAAUCAUUUUUUAAAUUUUUAUUAGUGAUUUAACAAUGAUUGACAAGACUGUAAGAUAACAGGGGUACAAUUCCAUACAGUCCCCACCACAAGAGUUCCAUGUCCCAUCUCCUCCACUGGAAGGUUUCCUAU
Unclassified non-coding RNA from Erinaceus europaeus (western European hedgehog), 374 nucleotides. Its record names the gene 7SK. It matches the Rfam family "7SK RNA". Rfam says of the family: 7SK was discovered as an abundant small nuclear RNA in the mid-70s but a possible function has only recently been suggested. Two independent studies have found that 7SK RNA binds the CDK9/cyclin T complex (known as elongation factor P-TEFb). Lineage: Eukaryota; Metazoa; Chordata; Mammalia; Eulipotyphla; Erinaceidae. The record is from Ensembl.